Peromyscus californicus insignis is the source of this 459-nucleotide long non-coding RNA. RefSeq lists it as uncharacterized. Lineage: Eukaryota; Metazoa; Chordata; Mammalia; Rodentia; Cricetidae. The transcript has 3 exons. The record is from RefSeq and is a predicted model, not a curated record.
UAUAGAGCAGCUCCUGUAUGCAGCAAGGCGCCUGAAGAAGAAUCUCUGCAGCAGUGACAUUGGAAUCUGCAUCUUUGAGAAGCUUCCCAAGUUUCUUCUAGGUACACUCCAGAAGAUAAGAAGUACUGGCCAGAGUUUAACAGAAAGGAAAACUUCACUCAUUAUUUAUGAGAAGAUGUAAAAGCUGGGCAGAAUGCACAGGGCAGACCUUUGAAGACUCUGAAAAGUAAACAAUGGCAAUCAGAUGAAGGGAAACAUAGGCCAGAAAAUGAAGUACUACCAAAGCGAUGCUGAUAAGUUCUUUUCACUUUGAUAUCCAUGGCCAACACUAGAAGAAGCCCCAAAUCCUUACUGAGGUAAAGUACCAACUUUUUCUGUAAAGACAGAAAGAGCAUAAGUGGUGGCCUUCUAUUUCAGCUUCAGUGGAAAAGACAGAGGUACCUGGAGGCUCAAAGAACA